This is a long non-coding RNA of Felis catus (domestic cat), 5475 nucleotides long. RefSeq lists it as uncharacterized. The transcript has 5 exons. Lineage: Eukaryota; Metazoa; Chordata; Mammalia; Carnivora; Felidae. The record is from RefSeq and is a predicted model, not a curated record.
UGAAGUCGGACGCUUAACUGACUGCACCACCCAGGCGCCCCUACAUAUCUGUAUUUUUAGAGGCUUUUUGACUAUUGUUAAUAUCUAACAUGUACAGUUGUUGUUAACAGUGUUUCCAGUUAACCAAGAGUUCUAUCCCCUUCCCAAACAAUACAAAGGCCUUAGAUUCUUUAAAUUUAAUCUCCCCAACUCCUGUUUGACCCUUUUUCCUUCACUUGUAUUUUUUACAAUUUGUUCCUGUCCUCCAGUCACUCUCCCGUAGUAUUAAUUUUUUUUUACAAUUAAUAUUUGUGUGGAUUUAAUCUACAUGUUUGCCAAUUUAUCUCUCAACUUUUUUGAGAGAGAGAGAGAGAGAGGGAACACAAGUAGGAUAGAGGGGCAGAGGGAGAGAGAGAGAGAGAGAGUGAGUGAGAGAGAAUCCCAAGCAGGCUCUGGGCUGUCAGCGCAGAGCCCAUGACCCCAAGAUCACAACCCUGAGCCAAAAUCAAGAGUCGAACACUCAACCAACUGAGCCACAAAGGUGCCCCUCUCAACUAUUUUUUGCAUCUCAUUUCUCCACUUUGGUUUCAGUUUCUUUCUUCCUGAACUCCAGGAAGAAAUAACUAUCGUAGAUCUUCUAGUGAGAACCUGUGAGUAAUAAAUUUUUCUCUGUCUAAAAAUGAUUUUAUUUUAGCCUUAUUUGAAGACAUACUUUAAUUGUGCAUACAAUUUUAAGUUAGUUAUUUUCUCUUAUUAUUUUCUUGUAUUAUCUCUUUGAAGAUAUCAGUCUAAUCUUUCAAACUGUAUUGUUGCUGAGGAGAAAUCUGCUGUCAGUCUAAUAAUAGCUACCCUUUUGUGCUACUAUGUCCUUCCCCUUCCCCUCUGGUUGCUUCUGAGACUUUGUCUUUAUCUCUGGUCUUCUGUAGUUUUGCCAUCAUUUGCCUGUGUUUGUUUUUAUGCCUGGUCAAAGUGAGCAUUUAGAACUUUCUUCAAAUAUGGCGAAUUUUCAUUUAUUUCCCCCUGAACAUCGCCUCCUUCAAAAGCUCCUGUUAGAGGGAUGUGGCAUCUUCCCGUUGUGCCCUCUCUCUGAACUUGUCUCAUGCAUUUGCCAUCUCUUAAUCCCUCCAUGUGGCAUUUUGCAUGAUUUAUUCAAAUCUAUUUUUUAAGGUAACAAAUUCUCUUUUCGGCUAUGCCUGAUAUGCCGUUUAAUUUGCCUUUUAAGCUGUUUAUUUUGGUGACAAUAUUUUUCAUUUCUGAACAUGUGAUUUGUAUUUAAAAUGUCUGCCUAGGUUUUCUUUAUCAAAGCUUCUUUCCUUUCUUGUAUAUCUUUACUCAUUGGUUUAAUUUGGAUUUCACGAGUUUUAUGAGUGUGUGCCUGCGUGCACGCGCGUGUGUGCGUGCAAAGUUUUGUGCGAUUACCACCACUACAAUGAAGAUACAGAAGUGCUUCAUCUCUGCAAGGUUCAGGCUGCUCUUAGAAGCACACCGACUUCCCUCACUCUCCCACCCUGUUCUUCAACCUGGAACCCAAAAAUCUGUUCUCCAUUUCUAUCAAUUUGUUAUAUCAAAUGUGGUCUAUACAUUGGAUGAUACAGUACAUAACCUUGGAGAUGGGCUUGUUUCACUAAGUGAAAUCCCCUUGAGAUCCAUCCCAGUUGUGUUUAUAAUUAAGUCUACUCCUUUUUUUUUGCUCAGUAGUAUUCUAUGGUUUGAAUAUACCAUAGUUGUUUAAACUUUCACCAGUUGAAGACAUCUAGGUUGUUGCCAGUUUUAUGCCGACAUGAAUAAAACUGUUAUGACCAUUCACGUACAAGUUUUGUACAAACACAGGUUUUUGUUUCUCUGGAACAAAUGCUCAAGAGUUCGGUAGCUGGGUUACAUGACAAUUGCAUGUUUGGUUUCAAAGGAAAUAGCCAACUGUAUUCCAGAGUGGCUGUGUCAUUUAAGGGCCCCAGCACUGUACGAACGAUCCAGCUUCUCCACAUCCUCCCCAGCAUUCUCAUAGGUGUGUGGGGAUAUCUUGUUGUAAUGCUUUGCAUUUCCCUAGCGACUAAUAAUGUUCAGCACCUUUUCAUGUGCUUGUCAGCUGUAUAUCUUCUUAGGUGAAAUGUCUGUUCAUGUCUUUUGCCCGUUUUCUAAAUGAAUUUUUUUGUUUUUACUGUUCAGCUUUGGGAGUUCCUAUAUCAUCCAGAUACAAGUACUUUGUUGGAUAUGUGGUCUGCAAAUAUUUUUCCCCAGUCUGCAGCUUAUCUUCAUUAUUUCACAGGGCCUAUUGGAGAGCAGAAGUUUUCAGUUUUGAUGAGGUAUAAUUUAUCAAUUUUCCUUUUAAGGAUCAUGUUUUUGGUGUCAACCCCUUUAUCAUUUUAACUUAAAUAUCUAGUAUUCUCUUUCUGAUUUGCUGUUGUAUGUAGUUCAUAGCACACACAUUCUUCCCAUUGUGCAUGUGAGCCCCAUCUCAUGCUGGCUCAUUUCUUCGUCUCUCUUGUAUAUUAUGAGCUCAUUUUGGAGGAUCUAGGAUGUUCUUUUUUUUUUUUUUCUUUCUCAUUUUAGUCCCUUGAACUGUGGGAGCCACUUUGCUCUGAUGUUUUAUAUUUUCUCUUGCUGGGGCUUGAGAAAUUUUGGGAGUCCUAGACCAAUUUGGGAAUUUCCACACCUUAGGGGCACUAAAAAUAUGAAUUCCCACACCCUCAUUUGAAUAGUCUAGAGUUUUUAUUCCCCUGUUGGGCACGUAAUAUAUCUAGUAUUAGGCACAGGGACCUUUGGGAUGCCCCCCUUUUUUUUUCUUUAGUUCCCUUUUCAUAAAUUUAAUAGACCAUCUUGGCCAGGUCCCAGUUCUGACACCCUGCCUUUCUCAAGUCAUGUAUUUUUCCCUAUGUGGAUGUUCAAUCCCCAGCCUCCAGGCCCAUGCCCUUAUAACCAGGUCCAGUAUCCCACUUUGCCCGGUUACUACAGGAUAAUUGGAGUCUACUGCUCUGAUUUUCAACCCACUUUUUGUUCUUGGCAAAGUUUCCCCUUUCUGUUUUUUCUUUCUUCCCUUCUUUCUCUCAGUCUCGACUAAUUAAAUUCUUCGUAUUAUUUUAUACAGCAUUUUGAUAUUUUGUAGUGUGGAAGUUGGUCCACAAUAGCUUGAUACCCAUGCUGUUCUCACCAAAACACUCCACAUGAGAACUUUAAUCAUACAGGAAAUUACAUUUAAUCUGAGAGGUAGAGAAUGAAAAAUUAAGAAUACAGAGAGUAUGAAAAACAAAUAACAGUGAUAUUAAAAUGGCAAGUUUGACAGGGAAGCCCCUAACAUUUCUACACUCACCAAAGUAUAGAUUUGGAUAGAAAGCAUUAAUUUUUUUCUUUCAAAAUCUUCCUGGUUGUGUCUUUCUCUGAUUCCAUUUCUACCACCUUCCCUUGAAUAGAGACUUUGAUAUUCCAGGGUUUGCUGAACAUAAAGAGGUUCAGGCCUUGUCCUGAGCCUUGUUUCCUGAGCAUGCUUCCUCAUACUCUUUCACCCCCAACGCUGCACUUUAAUUUUUAGCUUUUUCUACCUUAGCCACAGGUUUCCGAUUCCCUAGUCCCUUCCUGUGCCUCUCACCUGGGAUUGCUUUCUAGGGCUUUAUCUCAGCAAUUCCCCGCUCUCAUUUCACACUCUUAAUCCCUAAAUUGCUUGCCAUUCUUUCCCAAUUCUUCAUGCCAAAAAGGUUGGCAUAACGUUAAUCUCUUCAUGGGUAGAACCUUGAUAAAUGGAAAGAAAAGGUUGGGGGGGGAGUCCCAUGCAGGAAGGAAUGUAGGAAAAUUGCCACAGUUAAAGUGGAAGCAGAAAGGCCUUGUGUUGUAAAGCACAACCAUGUCUUAAUGCUCAUAUUUCAUUUUUUUCAGGUCCACACACAUUUUUACUUCUCCAUUUUGUGGAAUCAAUGGUGUUUCUGAUUGAAGUCCUCCAAAGGAUUCCUACUGCGUUUAGAACAAAAUUUAAAUUUCUUGUAAUGACCUACAAGGACCAGCAUGACCGGGCACCUCUGUGUCUCCCCUCCUGUACUACGGUCUCUGUAGAGACAGGAACACAGUCCCAGGCUGAAGCAAGCACAUCUGAACGGGUCUGGCUGCUCUGGGCAGCUGGGGAAGGGCACCCACAGUGUUCUGAACAGAGUUGGAAGAACACCAGCGCUGAGAUGAGUCAGAGCCUCUCAAAGUGUGUGGUACCAAAGCAAUGCAGCACUGAAACUGUCUGUGCCAGCCUUCAAAGAUGCAUGUAGCCAGGGCCUCCCUUCAGGGGGCAGUUGAUGGAACCAUCAGUUUCAGUGAUGCCAGAAAUUUCCCAAGGAAUAGGAAGAGAACUGACACUUAUUCUGCACCUCCUUGAUGCCAACACCAAGUAUGUUAGGUCUCCGGCUUGCUGAAUGUGAGUGGAAAUGAUGAGUGACACUUCCAGGCCUGGCCCAUAAAAACCUCCCUCACAUGUUUCUCUACCACCCUUGGAAGCCAUGUGUGGAAAAUGGCAGAGCUGCCUCCACUGAUGAGGAACAUAUGAUUUGGCCUGUUACAUGAACAAGAAAUCAAUUUAUAUUGUGCUUGAAACAUUAUACAUUUAGGAAUUUGUUUUGUUGCAGCACUGGCUGUAUCUUAAUUGAAACAUACUCCCACACGAAUACUGCCUGGAAUGGUUUUCCUUGUACCAAAAAAAAUGACAGAUCAACUUUCCUCCUUUUUAAACGAAACUGCUUUCUGGAGACAACUCUGAAAAACUAGUGGUGUUCUAUGGAGAACGAUCAUCUGUUGGCUGAAUGGGCAACACCAGAGACUCAUGAGAGAAAGCUUGCCUUGGUCCAGUGCUGCCCAUAUGAGGGACAAUUCUUCCUAAGUAUGGCUCUGUAUUAGCCAUCCCACUUUGCAAAAAGACCUGAUGCUAAAUCCUCCAAACUGGCUUCUAUCAGUUAUGAUAAAGGUGACAUCGUAACCUCUCUCUGCCCCCCUUUUGUUUUACUUUCGAUUUGUUCAGAUCUCAGGUUGCGAAGAUGGCCACUUCUUAUUGAACCCCUUCCGAGACCUUGAAGAUUAUAAUAAUCUUUGGACAAACCAGCGGUCAAGGGUUGAUUAAUUACAUUACGGUGAUUGUGCAAAUAAUCCUCACAAUUGAAACAAGUGGUAAACUAUGAUUAUGUUUUGGUUCUAGUAUAAUUUUUUUCCUGAAGUGAAUAAAUGCCCUAUUUUUGCUUUAAAUCUUUUUAGUUUUCUACGAAGUGAUCAUUAUUUUUUCCAACUGCUAGGAUUUCUCUGUCAAAGAUUUUUAAACAGUACAGUAAAAUCCUAACCAUAAAUGAAAAGUUGAUAAAUUAUAAAACAUUAAAAUUAAGAAUGUAUGUUCAUCAAAUGGCAUGAUUAGAAGAAUAAAAAGGAAAAGCACAGAAUGGCAGAAGAUAUUUGUAAUACAUGUAUCCAAAAAAGGACUUAUGUCUGGAAUCUAUAAAGAAUCCCAAUGGAUCAAUAAAAGAGAGCACAAUAAAAAAA